Long non-coding RNA from Magnolia sinica, 615 nucleotides. RefSeq lists it as uncharacterized. Lineage: Eukaryota; Viridiplantae; Streptophyta; Magnoliopsida; Magnoliales; Magnoliaceae. The record is from RefSeq and is a predicted model, not a curated record. The transcript is spliced from 2 exons.
AUGAAGUGUCAAAAGUCCAUUUUAUUUUCAUUUUUACUAUAAAUGGUAAGUUUUAGAUUGCAUAUAACUUUUGAUCCUUCUGAGUUGUCGGAGACGUGCCAACAUGAAAAGGGCUCCGAAAAAUUAGGAGAAUAAUGUGGUUAGGCCAAAUUGGGCUGUUACUACUUUUGGUAGAAAACCAUGAAGUCUAGUAGGAAUGGAUAUUGUCUGUAAAUAGCUUACAAGCUAAAGAAGUCAGUGGAGGAUGAAAUUCAUUUUCUAAAGGGAUGGGUUUCAGAACUUGAAAGUGAUCUUGUGUCGAAGUUCACAGAAGUUACAUUUGCAAUUUCAAGGAAAGAAGAAGCUCUAUCUUCUGCAUUUGCUGAAAUUGACCGUCUGAAGGAAGAAAAUUCUGCAAAAAUGUAAGCAUUAUUGAAUGCAUAUGGAGGGUGUUUACUGUGUUGGAGUGUAUUUGUUUCUUGCAUAUGAGGGCAUGUCUUAGUUGUAAUUCUUAUGAUAGGUUGAGCAAAGUGAAGUAUUGUUUAUUUAGAAAUGUGAAUGUAGGAUGUAUUGUAUGAUUUGAUUGCUAUUUGUAAUAAAUGCAUCAUUUUUUUUCUGAUUGCAUUUUAUGUACUA